AAAAGUUAAUUUGUACGGUAGGCCCCCCUGACGAUCGUUCCUGGAAAUCUACAAAAAAUCGGGCUUUCCGGAACCAAUGGAUAGAGGCUGGUCAUGCUUGAAUUUCCGGAAGAUGGCAGCUCUAGAGCUAAAAUUCCACCUGAAUAAUAACUAAUUUCCCGGAAGUCUAAAUCAUACAAACUGAGUAUUUAUAGAUAAAUCUCUUUGGAAAAUAAUGAAGCUUAAAUCUUGAAACGAGAGGACUCCGGAGGACUCCUUAUAGCUCCAUACGGAUUCAUUUGAUUCAUACGUCCUAUAGGGAAAACUUCGAGUUUAUUGAAACCACAAUUUCGUUUUUGCUACUUGAGGUGUAGUAACCGUUCCGUUUGUAUUUUUUUUUGUGUGUUUCGAAAAAGAAGAACACUCCCCAAAAAAAUUGAAGUUCCGUAGCCGGUUUGACUUGCUAAUUUUAUUUCAAGAACGUGCUUAAAGGAGAACUUCAGUUAGUAACUAGUGCAAGCGGAAAUCAGAUCAAAUAGUUGGACGAGUUGCAUAUUCCUGACGGCUGUUUGAGACUCCAGAGUUCUACUUAUGAAACUACUUAAACGGAACGAGAAGGUAAAAGGACAAAAAAGUUGGCAGGUGGUAAAAGGUAAAUGGAUAUAGAACUGGCCAAACGAACUAACAUUAAAAAGACAUCCAUUACCGGCCCCGAAUUUCUUCGUAAAGCCCGAAAGGGGGACCUUGAUGUCGAUUAACCCUCAACAAUAAAAUUCUUGACUACAACUUCCUGCCCAACCCGAAUAACAUAAUCAAUCUUUUCUUUGUUACUUCGAAGAAAUGCAUUGCGUUAAAGGCAUAUGCAUAAAAAAGGCGAGGAAAUCUGUAUAGCUUUAUUUGGCAAUGUGGAGAAUAAUUAUAACGAAGAAAAAUAUGUGACAGGUGGGUAUAUAACUUUCGAAUCGAAAUACGGUAUAGAGUUGGCCUAGACCAAAGAAGAACAGGUUAUGUUGAUUCAAUAUAGCCUUGUCUCCUAUAUUUGAUACAACAUUUCUCUUCGAUAUGCACCAUACUAGACAAUUCCACAUAUCUGUUAAGGUUUCUUAUAAUGGAACGCAAUGUUGUCUAAAGUGCUAAACUAAAAUAAUUUUGUUUUCCUUUUGGGGAUUUCUCUUUUUGUUUCUGUUUAUCUGCUACACGUCAAUUUCAGUCACUCCAAAACCACUGCAAUAAGUUGACAAGAAAUGCGCUGUUAAUUUCGUUUUUCGACCUGAAUCUCGCAGCACCGUGGAUUAUCAACACACAAUUUGUUGACUAGUACAGAUGGACAUGCCAUCAAAUUAAAAACUGAUUCUUCCUGAAAAUAGCAGACGUUACGUAACGUUGAGCAAAACGUUUCACAAUCAUCGAUUAUACUUGUUCGCUUGUAAAUUGCGUGUAUUAUGUGUUUUUCGCUGUUAAGUGACGCAAUAAGUGCUGCUGUUUAUGUCUUAGGACAUAGUUAUAAUACACAGGAAGGGGUAAAAGCCCACAAACAA
Daphnia magna is the source of this 1517-nucleotide long non-coding RNA. RefSeq lists it as uncharacterized. The transcript is spliced from 3 exons. The record is from RefSeq and is a predicted model, not a curated record. NCBI's taxonomy places the organism in Eukaryota, Metazoa, Arthropoda, Branchiopoda, Diplostraca, Daphniidae.